RNAcentral lists this long non-coding RNA (1714 nucleotides) under Pelobates cultripes (western spadefoot toad). The record is from RNAcentral. Lineage: Eukaryota; Metazoa; Chordata; Amphibia; Anura; Pelobatidae.
CCAGGAACUUCUGCCUGCUAGUAAGAAGGUAAGAAGACAAUUUGACCAGCAAGUGCUAGGGGACAGUCCUUAGAAAGCAUGGAGUGAGCGCAUCAUAGUAUGCCCUUAGUUGGACAGCCUGCAGGAUUGGCAGGUAGCCUGACAUGCAUUCAUGCCAGGUUGACCUUCCAAUUCUUUGAACAACUGGCUCCCUUUUUGACAUGUUCUCCCCUUUUGGCAGGUCUGGUCACGUGAUUUGCACCAGUGGCACACCCUUUUACCCCACCCAUUGACUUCCAGCUUCACUGGACACUGCUGUUAGGGGGUAUGGAUUUACUUGAAAGAUGAAAGCAUAAAUUAGAGAGAGAUUAGCAUAGAGUAUGUGUUUUCUUAUAGCUGCAUCCUAUGAGUUUCCCUCCAGCACCAACUCCAUCAGAUACAUGACGCUUGGUAGGUAUGAUUGUUUUAGUGUUUUUGGUCGAUAAGAUUCUGUAAUUAGGCCCAUCAUAAUUGUCAGCACCAGGCCCACUGUGCCCUUAAUCCGGCCCUGCCUAUGUCUACCUGUAAUCUGUAAUAGUGAUAAAUCCUAUAAAUCCCGUCUGGCAGAGACUGAAGCAAUUACCCUAUGGCUUCCUGUGAACUCUAUAUAUUCAGCAGAAUUAAAACCAUGAUUUGUUACUACUUUAUUUCUUGUUUUGUGAGUUAGUACCUAUUCUGCUUAACAUAAAGAACUAUUUACAGUGUAUUGAAGUGAAUAUAAAGCUAUUAGGCCAUGUAGAAUUCUCUCUGAUUUUUAUCAAAGUGUUUUCUAUCAGUCUUGUAAAACAGGAAUUACAUCAGCCCCCAUCAGCACAAUACAUAGGGAUUUCACUUCUUCAUUAACCAUCUAAAUAGGGUUGCCAUGCCCACCAUGUUUUCCUAGUAACACAUAAUUUGCUGCUGCUCAAUCCUAGCAUAGCCUAGCAUUGAGAGCCUAUCAUUUUAUGGCUUGACCACACAAUACUUGUCUCGUGCCAUCCAAAUAUUCUGAUGCAUAAUCAGGCGUCCCAACUGUCCCAGUUUUCGGGUCCUCUCCCGCUAUUCCAACCAUGUUCCCUGGUUUCCCGCUCUUGGAGACACCAGUGAACUGACCUCAACAAGUAUAACACAAACGCAUUAUUAGGGCACAGGGACAUAAAUGUCAUUAAAUGGGGGCAAUUGCUGCCCCUAGAUCAUGCUUUGCCCCCCAUCAAACUUCUAUGACUUUAAAUGGCUGUUUUUUCCUCAUGUAGACUGAGAGCUGGCAGCUUGUGUUCUCCCUGCAAUGUCUCUUUUUCAGUCUCCCAGAAUGGCCGCUAUGUGUGCAAUGAGAGAUAGAGCCGUGACAUCACAUCCCUUCCCACCGUGUGUGAGAUGUGGGGAGGUGCAGGGUUGCCUGGAGAAGGAAAACAGCUUUGUGAUGGCAUGCUGCUGGAGAGGACAGAGAGUGAAAAGACACAAAAGGGAGGUAAGACCUGCACCCACUACAGCCCCGAACCCACCCUUGCACCCAGUAAAGCUCCUAACUUUUGCUGCACCACGUGUUAAAUCAGAUCCUAGGGCUGCUCCCUGACUUCCACUGUGUAUAUUUCCUGGUGAAGCUGUAUCCAAAUGUGAUCCAGUAUCCUGAAGUCUUCGUAGGCCUGCAGCCUGAUGAUCUUGCAACCUGGAAGAAGAAAAUGACAUCCUGGGUAGGCCGUCCUCAAUAAAAUAAAAU